RNAcentral lists this unclassified non-coding RNA (378 nucleotides) under plant metagenome. Its description in RNAcentral is "partial contains 5.8S ribosomal RNA, internal transcribed spacer 2, and large subunit ribosomal RNA". The stretch from base 1 to 105 matches the Rfam family "5.8S ribosomal RNA", at positions 50 to 154 of the family's 154-position model. The record is from RNAcentral.
GAACUGCGAUAAGUAAUGUGAAUUGCAGAAUUCAGUGAAUCAUCGAGUCUUUGAACGCACAUUGCGCCCCCUGGCAUUCCGGGGGGCAUGCCUGUUUGAGUAUCAUGAAAUCUUCAAAGUAAAUCUUUUGUUAACUCAAUUGGUUUCUACUUUGGUAUUGGAGGUCUUUGCAGCUUCACACCUGCUCCUCUUUGUUCAUUAGCUGGAUCUCAGUGUUAUGCUUGGUUCCACUCGGCGUGAUAAGUUAUCUAUCGCUGAGGACACUGUAAAAGGUGGCCAAGGUAAAUGCAGAUGAACCGCUUCUAAUAGUCCAUUGACUUGGACAAUACUUUUAUGAUCUGAUCUCAAAUCAGGUAGGACUACCCGCUGAACUUAAGC